CAUGACCCUGAUCGACGCUGUCUGUCUCUCUUGUGUAGCUUAUGUGAUCAAACAGGAGCCGCAAGUGACUUGUUUUCAUUGACAGUCGCUGUUCAGUUUGUUGCUUUGUAGCUGUCCAGCGACAUUUCACAAAAAUACACCU
This 142-nucleotide small nucleolar RNA is filed under the name Terrapene triunguis (Three-toed box turtle). Lineage: Eukaryota; Metazoa; Chordata; Testudines; Emydidae. The record is from RNAcentral.